This 24-nucleotide non-coding RNA is filed under the name Arabidopsis thaliana (thale cress). The record is from RNAcentral. Lineage: Eukaryota; Viridiplantae; Streptophyta; Magnoliopsida; Brassicales; Brassicaceae.
CGCCGAAAUCGCUAGGAAGGUCUC